RNAcentral lists this ribosomal RNA (253 nucleotides) under uncultured bacterium. RNAcentral's name for it is "partial 16S ribosomal RNA". It matches the Rfam family "Bacterial small subunit ribosomal RNA", at positions 524 to 776 of the family's 1533-position model. The record is from RNAcentral.
GACAGAGGGUGCGAACGUUGUUCGGAAUUACUGGGCGUAAAGCGCGUGUAGGCGGCUCGGAAAGUCGGAUGUGAAAGCCCUGGGCUUAACCUAGGAAGUGCAUUCGAAACUCCCGAGCUUGAGUUCUGGAGAGGAAGGCGGAAUUCUCGGUGUAGAGGUGAAAUUCGUAGAUAUCGAGAGGAACACCGGUGGCGAAGGCGGCCUUCUGGACAGUGACUGACGCUGAGACGCGAAAGCGUGGGGAGCAAACAGG